GAUGAACGCUGGCGGCGUGCCUAAUACAUGCAAGUCGAGAGAACGGACGAGAAGCUUGCUUCUCUGAUGUUAGCGGCGGACGGGUGAGUAACACGUGGAUAACCUACCUAUAAGACUGGGAUAACUUCGGGAAACCGGAGCUAAUACCGGAUAAUAUUUUGAACCGCAUGGUUCAAAAGUGAAAGACGGUCUUGCUGUCACUUAUAGAUGGAUCCGCGCUGCAUUAGCUAGUUGGUAGGGUAACGGCUUACCAAGGCAACGAUGCAUAGCCGACCUGAGAGGGUGAUCGGCCACACUGGAACUGAGACACGGUCCAGACUCCUACGGGAGGCAGCAGUAGGGAAUCUUCCGCAAUGGGCGAAAGCCUGACGGAGCAACGCCGCGUGAGUGAUGAAGGUCUUCGGAUCGUAAAACUCUGUUAUUAGGGAAGAACAUAUGUGUAAGUAACUGUGCACAUCUUGACGGUACCUAAUCAGAAAGCCACGGCUAACUACGUG
RNAcentral lists this ribosomal RNA (497 nucleotides) under uncultured bacterium. RNAcentral describes it as "partial 16S ribosomal RNA". It matches the Rfam family "Bacterial small subunit ribosomal RNA", at positions 28 to 507 of the family's 1533-position model. The record is from RNAcentral.